GAUCCGAGCUGACGAUGGAGGACGUGCGACACCGCGCGCAAGCCGGCACCUCCUCUUCCUCCAUCAGCAAUGGACUGGAACGAAGCUCCAGCAGCAACUCGCGUCACGGCUCCACGUGCUGACCUCGCAGCAGAUCUGAAAAGCCUCUGGAGGAUCGGUCGUCCGACAGCGGGCCGGCAGGCCCCGGCCGCCCGACAGCGGGGCGACCGCCUCCCCCCGUCCUAUAUAAGGGGUUGGCUGCCCCCACCCUCUCAUUUGCCUCACUAAAAAUCCAGAAAAAAAGAAAAGAGAGGGAGAGGAGUGAGGGAGCGGCGAAGCUCUGUCGGAUUUUCAAGCCGGCGACUGCAGGUAUGGCCGGGGUUACUCCUGUGUUGCUGGACCCAAUAAUAGACUCGGGUCACCGGUCUUUUCUUGCUGUGGUUCAGCACCAACAACUCAACGUGCUGCGUCCACGUCCACCUGCAGAGUUGGUUCCUGUAGACCCACGAUGGGUGCCCAGGCUGAGCGAGGCAGGUCUUCUUACUGUGGCUCGUCUUGCUGAGAGUGCCUUGAUGAAGCUAGACAGGUCUCUACUUUCAGCUCUCGUUGACAGAUGGAGAUCUGAGACACACACGUUCCACCAGUUGCCCCGCUGCCGGGCGGCUUGGGGGCCGGCCGUUUUGCUGUCGGGCGACCCUCUAGGGGCUUUUCUGUAAAAAUUUUCGCGGAAUUUUUGCAGAAAAGCCCGUGCCGCCCCGCAGCGGGGCGUCCAGGCCCCGGCCGCCCGGCAGCGGUGGGUCCGG
This is a long non-coding RNA of Panicum virgatum (switchgrass), 782 nucleotides long. RefSeq lists it as uncharacterized. The transcript is spliced from 4 exons. Lineage: Eukaryota; Viridiplantae; Streptophyta; Magnoliopsida; Poales; Poaceae. The record is from RefSeq and is a predicted model, not a curated record.